This 253-nucleotide ribosomal RNA is filed under the name uncultured bacterium. RNAcentral describes it as "partial 16S ribosomal RNA". It matches the Rfam family "Bacterial small subunit ribosomal RNA", at positions 524 to 776 of the family's 1533-position model. The record is from RNAcentral.
UACAGAGGUGGCAAGCGUUGUUCGGAAUUACUGGGCGUAAAGGGCGCGUAGGCGGCCUACUAAGUCAGACGUGAAAUCCCCCGGCUUAACCUGGGAACUGCGUCUGAUACUGGAAGGCUUGAGGAUGGGAGAGGGAUGUAGAAUUCCAGGUGUAGCGGUGAAAUGCGUAGAUAUCUGGAGGAAUACCGGUGGCGAAGGCGGGUCUCUGGGCCGAUAUUGACGCUGAGGAGCGAAAGCGUGGGGAGCGAACAGG